UUGCACACACCGCCCGUCACACCAUGGGAGCGGGUUCUGCCAGAAGUAGUUAGCCUAACCGCAAGGAGGGCGAUUACCACGGCAGGGUUCGUGACUGGGGUGAAGUCGUAACAAGGUAGCCGUAUCGGAAGGUGCGGCUGAAUCACCUCCUUUCUGGAAAUAGCACUCAAUUUCUUGCGUCCACACUUAUCGGCUGUCUUUGACGACAGAAAUUGAAACGUGACCGGCUUGACGUAACCGCAAGGCCAACGCCUGGUUGACGUGAUGAGCGGACCGCAGCGUUUCGUGAAUGCAUGGGUCUGUAGCUCAGUUGGUUAGAGCACCGUCUUGAUAAGGCGGGGGUCGUUGGUUCGAAUCCAACCAGACCCACCAAUCCAUUCCGUGGGGGUGUAGCUCAGCUGGGAGAGCACCUGCUUUGCAAGCAGGGGGUCAUCGGUUCGA
Molecule: unclassified non-coding RNA, 441 nt
Filed under: uncultured Aquabacterium sp.
Lineage: Bacteria; Pseudomonadati; Pseudomonadota; Betaproteobacteria; Burkholderiales; Sphaerotilaceae
Description: partial contains 16S-23S intergenic spacer region and 16S ribosomal RNA
Rfam family: Bacterial small subunit ribosomal RNA (bases 1-153)
Source: RNAcentral